Molecule: unclassified non-coding RNA, 324 nt
Filed under: Bombus terrestris (buff-tailed bumblebee)
Lineage: Eukaryota; Metazoa; Arthropoda; Insecta; Hymenoptera; Apidae
Description: misc RNA ENSBTSG00005037478.1
Source: RNAcentral
GUCUUUACCCACACAACUUCAGCCUCAACUUCACUAAAAACCAAUGAAGAAAUCAAAGCAGCCACGGAAUACCUAUAAACACGAGCAUAAUAAACGCUAUCCGCUUCUCCACACCGGCAAAAACGUCCAUCAGCAAUCACGAAUACCCCCAGUACAUAUUAAAAAAAUAGCAGAAAAACGUAGACUAAGAAGGAUAUGGCAGACCCAUAGAACACCGGAGGACAAGCUGGCGAGAUAUUUGUGAAAACGGUCAUUAUUGUAGUUCUUUAUGGUUUUGGAUAGUUUUCUAGUUGCGUUGUUUAGUUUGCAUUUGUCCUCCGGUGU